UACGCGUAGUUAUUGGCAAGUAGGUCACGAAUCAGCAUCGCCUACUCCGUGCCAGCAGCCGCGGUAAUACGGAGGAUGCAGGCGUUAUCCGGAUUUAUUAGGUUUAAAGGGUGUUCAGGCUGUCUGGUAAGUCAGAGGUGAAAGUCGGUUGCUNAACGAUCGAAUUGCCUUUGAAACUGUCAGACUUGAGUAUGGAUGCGGUAGGCGGAAUGUGUAGUGUAGCGGUGAAAUGCAUAGAUAUUACACAGAACACCGAUUGCGAAAGCAGCUUACCAAACCAGCACUGACGCAGAAGCACGAAAGCGUGGGUAGCGAACAGGAUUAGAUACCCUGGUAGUCCACGCAGUAAACGAUGCUCACUCGCUGUUGGCAAUAGAUCGUCAGCGGCUAAGGGAAACCGAUAAGUGAGCCACCUGGGGAGUACGAUCGCAAGAUUGAAACUCAAAGGAAUUGACGGGGGCCCGCACAAGCGGUGGAACAUGUGGUUUAAUUCGAUGAUACGCGAGGAACCUUACCUGGGCUUAAAUGUACGAUGCAUAAGUGUGAAAGCGCUUUUUCCUUCGGGACUUUGUACAAGGUGCUGCAUGGUUGUCGUCAGCUCGUGCCGUGAGGUGUCGGGUUAAGUCCCAUAACGAGCGCAACCCCUAUUGUUAGUUACCAGCGCGUAAAGGCGGGGACUCUAGCGAAACUGCCGGUGUAAACCGCGAGGAAGGUGGGGAUGACGUCAAAUCAGCACGGCCCUUAUGUCCAGGGCUACACACGUGUUACAAUGGCCGGUACAGCGGGCAGCGAGGCAGCGAUGCCGAGCGAAUCUCGAAAGCCGGUCCCAGUUCGGAUUGGAGUCUGCAACCCGACUCCAUGAAGGUGGAAUCGCUAGUAAUCGCGCAUCAGCCAUGGCGCGGUGAAUACGUUCCCGGGCAUUGUACACACCGCCCGUCAAGCCAUGGAAGUCUGGGGUGCACUGAAGGCCGUAACCGCGAGGAG
RNAcentral lists this ribosomal RNA (984 nucleotides) under uncultured organism. Its description in RNAcentral is "bacterial SSU rRNA". It matches the Rfam family "Bacterial small subunit ribosomal RNA", at positions 456 to 1451 of the family's 1533-position model. The record is from RNAcentral.